CCUACGGGUGGCAGCAGUGGGGAAUAUUGGACAAUGGGGGGAACCCUGAUCCAGCGACGCCGCGUGAGUGAAGAAGUAUUUCGGUAUGUAAAGCCCUAUCAGCAGGGAAGAAAAUGACGGUACCUGACUAAGAAGCCCCGGCUAACUACGUGCCAGCAGCCGCGGGAAUACGUAGGGGGCAAGUGUUAUCCGGAUUUACUGGGUGUAAAGGGAGCGUAGACGGUGCAGCAAGUCUGAUGGGAAAGGUCGGGGACCAACCCCGGGACUGCAUUGGAAACUGUGAAACUUGAGUACAGGAGAGGUGAGCGGAAUGCCUGGUGUAGCGGUGAAAUGCGUAGAUAUUAGGAGGAACACCGGUGGCGAAGGCGGCUUACUGGACUAUAACUGACGUUGAGGCUCGAAAGCGUGGGGAGCAAACAGGAUUAGAUACCCUUGUAGUC
RNAcentral lists this ribosomal RNA (440 nucleotides) under uncultured bacterium. RNAcentral's name for it is "partial 16S ribosomal RNA". It matches the Rfam family "Bacterial small subunit ribosomal RNA", at positions 338 to 795 of the family's 1533-position model. The record is from RNAcentral.